This 509-nucleotide ribosomal RNA is filed under the name uncultured Hydrogenophaga sp. Its description in RNAcentral is "bacterial SSU rRNA". It matches the Rfam family "Bacterial small subunit ribosomal RNA", at positions 20 to 519 of the family's 1533-position model. Lineage: Bacteria; Pseudomonadati; Pseudomonadota; Betaproteobacteria; Burkholderiales; Comamonadaceae. The record is from RNAcentral.
UGGCUCAGAUUGAACGCUGGCGGCAUGCUUUACACAUGCAAGUCGAACGGUAACAGGCCGCAAGGUGCUGACGAGUGGCGAACGGGUGAGUAAUGCAUCGGAACGUGCCCAGUCGUGGGGGAUAACUACUCGAAAGAGUAGCUAAUACCGCAUACGAUCUGUGGAUGAAAGCGGGGGACCGCAAGGCCUCGCGCGAUUGGAGCGGCCGAUGUCAGAUUAGGUAGUUGGUGGGGUAAGGGCUCACCAAGCCGACGAUCUGUAGCUGGUCUGAGAGGACGACCAGCCACACUGGGACUGAGACACGGCCCAGACUCCUACGGGAGGCAGCAGUGGGGAAUUUUGGACAAUGGGCGCAAGCCUGAUCCAGCAAUGCCGCGUGCAGGGAAGAAGGGCCUUCGGGGUGUAAACUGCUUUUGUACGGGGACGAACGGGCUCUGGGUUAAUACCUGGGGGCUAAUGACGGGUACCGUAAGAAUAAGCACCGGGCUAACUACGUGCCAGCCGCCGCC